Molecule: ribosomal RNA, 253 nt
Filed under: uncultured bacterium
Lineage: Bacteria
Description: partial 16S ribosomal RNA
Rfam family: Bacterial small subunit ribosomal RNA
Source: RNAcentral
UACGUAGGUGGCAAGCGUUGUCCGGAUUUACUGGGUGUAAAGGGCGUGCAGCCGGAGAGACAAGUCAGAUGUGAAGUCCACGGGCUCAACUCGUGAACUGCAUUUGAAACUGUUUCCCUUGAGUGUCGGAGAGGUAAUCGGAAUUCCUUGUGUAGCGGUGAAAUGCGUAGAUAUAAGGAAGAACACCAGUGGCGAAGGCGGAUUACUGGACGAUGACUGACGGUAAGGCGGGAAAGCGUGGGGAGCAAACAGG